Long non-coding RNA from Leopardus geoffroyi (Geoffroy's cat), 2952 nucleotides. RefSeq lists it as uncharacterized. The transcript has 6 exons. The record is from RefSeq and is a predicted model, not a curated record. Lineage: Eukaryota; Metazoa; Chordata; Mammalia; Carnivora; Felidae.
AAAUAAGGAGUCGGAUGCUUAAUCAACUGAGCCACCCAGGUGCCCCAAGUUAUUUCCUUUUUGAUUUCAAGUGUUCUCAUGACCUCCAGAAGAAUGUGGCCAGGUGGCACUAGUUUAUCUUGUACACGCAUUGCAGUUGACUCUGAGCAGACCUCAAGCUCAGCUGGAAUUUAACAGCAUUGUUUUGUUUUCAUUGCGGUCAUUUUUUUAAUGAUUACUUUCUAUUUAUUACAAACAGUAUUGAUUUUCCUUAAUGGUAGUGCCUAAAGUUUCCCUUCAAAUGUUUGUUUUUGGGGCUAAAGCAAACCGAUUUAAAGAAAACAUGAAGUUAUUGAUGGAAGAAGAGGUAUACAGAUCAGGCAAAAUCUUGAUGGUGGAAGGUUUGUGUCUAAAGUUGAGGAGAGUGCUUCAGGGGCAUUUACUUGAACUCAUCAAACCUCCCUAACCCAGAUGUUUCUGUGGCACCACAUGUGGGUGUCCUGUCUACACUACCUGGCUGCCCGAUUAGCACAGAUGGCCUAGGAAGUAAUCCUUCCUCCUCAGAUUACUGAUGUAGAGAAGGGAAAGGACACCCACUGGUGGCUCCCUUAGCCUGACGUCAGAUGCCUGGGCCCCCUUCCCAGCUCCCCCCGGCCCAGCUGGUAGUUGGAAAUGCUCACUACCUCCUGGUUAGUAGCAAGGGUGGAACCCUCCACAAGAUCACACGCUUAUCUCCAAUGCUGUGCGGGUGAAAAGUUAACAGGCGCUCUCGGGGAAGGACUGGUUUGUGACACUUGCCGAUUUCAGCGGUCUAAGUUCUCCCACCUUAGCUGAUUUCAGUCACGGCUGUGUUUAACAACCGGCUGACAAAAUUCCUGAAUAUCGAACAGGUGUCCUGGGGCGCCAGCCCCAGCAGGCUUCGGCUCGCCACUGUAAGUUGCAGUGUCAGCAUUUGAUGUUGUAACUGGGUUAUUCCUCCGUGUCAGCCUUUUCCUCUAAAGGUGAAGCUCCAUGAGAGAAGAAACCACAUCUGUCUCGCUCACCACGGUAACUCACGUGCCCAGCGCAGUCCUGACACUUUGCAGCUGCCCCACGAAUACAUUGGCUAAUACUUACUGGCAGGCGAUCUGAGGUUAAAAGGCAUUCCCACAAAGGCCCCAGUCCCUUAAAUCUUGCAGCUUUCUCAAGCUUAGUGAAGUUUGAGGGCGUUUUGUUUUGUUUGUGUUCUUUCUCCUUGAGCAGCAGACCAGCUUGGCUCCACAAUGUCAAAGAGCAGAUGUGUCUUCCUGGGAGCCUGAGAAGAGCUGGAGCUGGAAGGAAGCAGAGCCGGGCUGACCAUGUCAGGUCCCCUGCUUCAAGGGCCCCUGCCUCCCGCAAGGUGCACCGCUGCGGCCCUCUGUAUUCAGAUUAAAGGGGACCACGCAAACCAUCUCUCCUGAACAUCUAGUCUUCGGCUGUGAUGUCCAUGUCCUGACAAAUCGUGGAUCCUGCCUACUGAGUUUCCUGAUACAGCAGUGUUAUGCUUUUCUGAAGAUGGGGAUUUUCAUCCAAACCCUCUUUUAGGACUGCCUUCACACCUUCACACCUGAAUGUAUUCUUCGUUCUUCUGGAAUGUUUAUAGGGCUGCUCUGGCUCUCGCCACUUGCGACUGGAUUUUGGUGCAACUUCUAGAAUCUGAGCCUGGACCAGAAGCUACAGAAUUCAGGGACUGAGCAGAGAGGAGAAAUAAGGAGAGAGUCUGGGAGUGAAAGUGUGUGCAACAGGCUGUAGAAGCUGUCUGCUCACAGUGAUGUCCGACAUAGAAUAUUUUCACGCCAGUGGAACUACUGUGAACAUCUCAGCCAAAAUGUAUUCCCCAUCAUUGACUGCUCCUGGUUAUAAAUCAUCCCUUGUGCCAGAGGACACGAAAUGACAGUGGGAUAGGAAGAAAGCAUACCUUUUGUUCUUGAUGGUCGUAAGAACCACGUCCUUCCUCUUAUUGUGAAUUGCAACAUGCAAAAAGGAGGCCUGCUGCUUGUUCAGGACGAUGGCAGCAUCGUAACUCAAAAGAAGUGCGACGGCUUUGGCAUGGCCUUCCCUUGCAGCAAAGUGCAGUGCAGUGUUCUUUCAGAGAGAACAGGACACAGAAAAUCCUGUGACAAUGGCUAGUCAUCCUUUGGCUAUCGUACUGCUUUCAUCUUUGAACUGCUUAAAAUAAAUUAUUGACAAACCCAACUAUUUAAUACCAAAAUAUGUAAAAUUUAAAACCAAUGCUCAGAGUCAAGCAUCGAAUAAGGAGUUUCUAGUUCACACACGGGGUGUGUGUGUGUGUGUGUGUGUGUGUGUGUGUGUGUGUGUGUGUGUAUGCGCACAAGCAAUUCCAAGUGGUUGGUUUUACUUUGUUUUUAUAUUGGGAUGAUUCCGCAAGGACAAAUGACAGACUUUCAGAGUAAAGAUGUUGGAGUGAACACAGAAUACUUCUAAGAGGUUUCUUGUCUUAGUAGAGCAAUGAUUUCCAGAUGUUGGCUUUUUGUAGUCUGGUGAAAUUUUUUAAAAAUCAGGAAUUGCUCUAAGGUUGCCAAUCUUUAAUUUGACACAUAAAGACAACUUAAAAAGCAAUAACAACCUUCUACCUCUAUCAUUUCAUGAAAGAAUGUGAAUUUUAAUACUCUCCAUAAAAAGAGGAAGUAUAGCAGAAUAAAGGAUAGUCUUUCAAAUCAAAUACACUUAGCUAUAUGAAAACAUACCCCGAACCUCUUCAUUUGUCUCAGUUCACCAGGGAGUACUGAAAAUUUUUUCAUCAAUCUACGUAGGCCUGUGGACUCUCUGCGAGACUCAAGAGGUGUCUCAACAUGCACCCACCUGUUAGCAUUCUCCUUAUUCUGUUCCCCUCUUACUCAUUCCUCACUUAGCGUCUGCAGAGUAAGAACCCAACAAAAGACUAUGAAUGCAGCAAGGAAGGAAAUAAAAUGGCUGGAAAGGACGCUUUCAUGC